RNAcentral lists this ribosomal RNA (266 nucleotides) under uncultured prokaryote. RNAcentral's name for it is "partial 16S ribosomal RNA". It matches the Rfam family "Bacterial small subunit ribosomal RNA", at positions 524 to 789 of the family's 1533-position model. The record is from RNAcentral.
UACGGAGGGUGCAAGCGUUAUCCGGAAUCACUGGGCGUAAAGGGCGCGUAGGUGGUCUGUUAAGUCUGGCGUUAAAGCCUGGGGCUCAACCCCAGAUCAGCGUUGGAUACUGGCAGGCUAGACGGUUGGAGAGGCGAGUGGAAUUACCAGUGUAGCGGUGGAAUGCGUAGAUACUGGUAGGAACACCCAUUGCGAAGGCAGCUCGCUGGAUAACACGUGACACUGAGGCGCGAAAGUGUGGGGAGCAAACCGGAUUAGAUACCCCU